CUCGCCUGGGAACUACGAGCAUUAGCUUAAAACCCAAAGGACUUGGCGGUGCUUUAGAUCCACCUAGAGGAGCCUGUUCUAGAACCGAUAACCCCCGUUCAACCUCACCCUUUCUGGUCUUUCCCGCCUAUAUACCACCGUCGUCAGCUUACCCUAUGAAGGCCUUAUAGUAAGCAAAACUGGCAAAGCCUAAAACGUCAGGUCGAGGUGUAGCGCAUGAAAGGGGAAGAAAUGGGCUACAUUCACUGAUGCAGUGAACACGAACGAUAGCCUGAAAUAACUAUCUAAAGGAGGAUUUAGCAGUAAGGAGGAAAAUAGAGCGUUCCCCUGAAACUGGCCCUGAAGCGCGCACACACCGCCCGUCACUCUCCCCAAACCCACUGAAUACAAGUAAAUAACACACAAAAGACACAAAGGGGAGGCAAGUCGUAACAUGGUAAGUGUACCGGAAGGGGCACUUGGAAAAC
Molecule: ribosomal RNA, 467 nt
Filed under: Rhyacichthys aspro (loach goby)
Lineage: Eukaryota; Metazoa; Chordata; Actinopteri; Gobiiformes; Rhyacichthyidae
Description: partial 12S ribosomal RNA
Rfam family: Bacterial small subunit ribosomal RNA
Source: RNAcentral